GGAUGAGCCCGCGGCCUAUCAGCUAGUUGGUAGGGUAACGGCCUACCAAGGCGAAGACGGGUAGCUGGUCUGAGAGGAUGAUCAGCCACACUGGGACUGAGACACGGCCCAGACUCCUACGGGAGGCAGCAGUGGGGAAUAUUGGGCAAUGGGCGCAAGCCUGACCCAGCCACGCCGCGUGAGUGAUGAAGGCUUUCGGGUCGUAAAGCUCUGUGGGGAGGGACGAAGAAACAUUGGCUAAUAUCCAAUGGACUGACGGUACCUCCUUAGCAAGCACCGGCUAACUACGUGCCAGCAGCCGCGGCCGA
RNAcentral lists this ribosomal RNA (308 nucleotides) under uncultured bacterium. RNAcentral's name for it is "bacterial SSU rRNA". It matches the Rfam family "Bacterial small subunit ribosomal RNA", at positions 223 to 524 of the family's 1533-position model. The record is from RNAcentral.